UGGCUCUGAGGUGAUUAGGCAGAGGAACAAUGACCCCAAGUGAAAGAGCCCAUUGGAGAGAAGGGUUGAGUCAAAAGAGUUCAGGAGCUCAAAGCACUUCGCCUUUAAGACCCCAGGAGCUUCUUUGGCAUAUAGAAAAGAAUUGGUGUAUAUACUUUAAAGCCAAUUAAGGAAUUGGAAGUUUCAGGAAGCAGAUAACCAGGUCAUAAAUGUACUAUUUUGAUAAACCCGGAGGCAAUGUUAAGGUCAAUGAAGGAAGUGGAUUUGUAUUAAUGUUUUAUUUCAACUUCUCAUAUUUGGAUCCAAUCAUAAUAAUCACGUGCUUUUUGCCAACUUUCCUGGGUAUUCAGCUUUCCCACCUGGAGACUAAAUGUAGAGUUAGAAGCUCAGAGAACUAAAAACAGCGCAGCUGGAUUAUAACUUUUGUUGAAAAGAACAUCAGUUGCUUGGCUAAGAAUUCUUCCAAAUUUUUCAAUUAUAUAGACCCUUCAGAGUUUUAUUCCUCUUUCUACAUAGCUCUGGGAUUUUGAAAGUGCAUUAAUACAUUGUCAAGAAAACAAUAAAAAUUUCAUUUAUACCAUUCAUCUGAGUUAGUCAUGAAAAGAAACAGUUAUGGUCUUGAACAAGAUGGGUUUGAACUGCAUGGGCCCAGUUAUACAUGGAUUUUUGUUUAUAAAUAUGGUCUAGCACUGUAAAUGUAUUUUCUCUUAUGAUUUUUUAAAUAACAUUUUCUUUUAACUAGCUUACUUUAUUGUAAUAUUACCUAAUACAUAUAGCAUGCAAAAUUUGUGGUAACUGAUUGUGUAUGUUAUUGUUAAGGCUUCUGGUCAACUCUAGGCUGUUAGUAGUUAGGUUUUGAGGGGAGUUUUUGACUGGGAGUCAGUGCUUCUAAUCCCCAUGUUUUUCAAGGGUCAACUGUAUUUUAUUUCCACAAAUGUGGACUCGAGUUAGGUACACACAAAGAUAAGACAAUAUUGCUCACUUUUUAAGCAUCCUGGACAUUGCUGUGAUCAGCUGCUGAAGAGUUUCUGUGAACAGAACGUAUUGUGUUUUCAAGGGGUACAUAUGUAUGUGGAUCUCUCUAUCAGUCUAUUAUUGUUCAUCUUUAUUGUUACCUUGUGUUGGUUGACUUUGUUAAAAGUAAUGAAAGCACACUGUUAACGUGAUUUUUUA
Long non-coding RNA from Nyctereutes procyonoides (raccoon dog), 1173 nucleotides. RefSeq lists it as uncharacterized. Lineage: Eukaryota; Metazoa; Chordata; Mammalia; Carnivora; Canidae. The transcript is spliced from 3 exons. The record is from RefSeq and is a predicted model, not a curated record.